AUGAACGCUGGCGGCGUGCCUAAUACAUGCCAGUCGAGCGAACAGACGAGGAGCUUGCUCCUCUGACGUUAGCGGCGGACGGGUGAGUAACACGUGGAUAACCUACCUAUAAGACUGGGAUAACUUCGGGAAACCGGAGCUAAUACCGGAUAAUAUAUUGAACCGCAUGGUUCAAUAGUGAAAGACGGUUUUGCUGUCACUUAUAGAUGGAUCCGCGCCGCAUUAGCUAGUUGGUAAGGUAACGGCUUACCAAGGCGACGAUGCGUAGCCGACCUGAGAGGGUGAUCGGCCACACUGGAACUGAGACACGGUCCAGACUCCUACGGGAGGCAGCAGUAGGGAAUCUUCCGCAAUGGGCGAAAGCCUGACGGAGCAACGCCGCGUGAGUGAUGAAGGUCUUCGGAUCGUAAAACUCUGUUAUUAGGGAAGAGCAAAUGUGUAAGUAACUAUGCACGUCUUGACGGUACCUAAUCAGAAAGCCACGGCUAACUACGUG
Molecule: ribosomal RNA, 496 nt
Filed under: uncultured bacterium
Lineage: Bacteria
Description: partial 16S ribosomal RNA
Rfam family: Bacterial small subunit ribosomal RNA
Source: RNAcentral